This 72-nucleotide transfer RNA is filed under the name Arabidopsis suecica. RNAcentral's name for it is "tRNA-Pro". It matches the Rfam family "tRNA". From Rfam's summary of the family: Transfer RNA (tRNA) molecules are approximately 80 nucleotides in length. The record is from RNAcentral. Lineage: Eukaryota; Viridiplantae; Streptophyta; Magnoliopsida; Brassicales; Brassicaceae.
GGGCAUUUGGUCUAGUGGUAUGAUUCUCACUUUGGGUGCGAGAGGUCCCGAAUUCGAUUCUCGGAAUGCCCC